Molecule: long non-coding RNA, 898 nt
Organism: Gasterosteus aculeatus aculeatus (three-spined stickleback)
Lineage: Eukaryota; Metazoa; Chordata; Actinopteri; Perciformes; Gasterosteidae
Source: Ensembl
UGUGUGUGUGUGUGUGUGUGUGUGUGUGUGUGUGUGCGUUCACACAGGAUUAUAACUUCCAGCUGUACACGCUGCAGCUCCAGAUGACCCGGAGCCAGAGAGAUAGAACAUCUAAUGUCCUCAAUCGAUCAAUACGAUCAAUACGCUCAGUGUCCAUUGGGACAAGACGUCUUCCUCCACAAACUCAGACUGGAACCGGGACCAGUAUCCUGCCUGAGAUCAACUACAGCCGGCAGGUCCUGCUCGUCGCCUGGCUCCGUGCCGUCUCACCCGUCUCACCUGUCCCACCUGCUGAGACGUGAGCAGGAGGAGGCCAAAGGUGAAGAUGCCUCCGAUCGUAGACGCUGCAGGACCUCCACAUAUCUGCAAUCAAAACAAGAUGUGCACGUGUUCUUGAGGACAAUGAUGCUCUACUGGCUGCUGCAACACAAGUUCAAGUUCCGUUGGCUGCGUGACCCGGAGAGGAAGGACCUGGUAAAAGCAAGUCGAGUAGCAGAAUGCAGAAAACAUGUCCCAGAGCAGGAGGAGCACCCAGGGGAAACGGCAGCAUCAUGCCGGCCAUCUACCAAAGAGGACGACGCCUACGUCUCUGCUGAAAAUCAACCAGGAGCCACAAGGACGGACGCUGUGAAUCAGUUUCCAUUAAUAAAGAAAGUAUCACUUAAAUAUGAUGCAACCUCUGAUUCUCUCUCCAAAGAGGAAUCGGCUCUCAGAUCUAAUGUUGGAGAAGCUUCUCCUCUUGAGGUCAAUUACUGGUUUGAGAGCGAACAAUGUUCUCCUGGUCAGAGGUGAGACUUGUCAGCUCAUUUUAACGCUUGUUGAGAAUCUCAUCUAUUUUUAACUUUCUUUCUAUUUAACUUUUCCUUGCGAGGAAAGUUUGUUAAACCUGUUUGUUUUG